RNAcentral lists this ribosomal RNA (254 nucleotides) under uncultured bacterium. RNAcentral's name for it is "partial 16S ribosomal RNA". It matches the Rfam family "Bacterial small subunit ribosomal RNA", at positions 524 to 776 of the family's 1533-position model. The record is from RNAcentral.
UACAGAGGUCUCAAGCGUUGUUCGGAUUCAUUGGGCGUAAAGGGUGCGUAGGCGGCGCGGUAAGUCGGGUGUGAAAUUUCGAGGCUUAACUUCGAAACUGCAUUCGAUACUGCCGUGCUUGAGGACUGGAGAGGAGACUGGAAUUUACGGUGUAGCGGUGAAAUGCGUAGAUAUCGUAAGGAAGACCAGUGGCGAAGGCGGGUCUCGUGGACAGUUCCUGACGCUGAGGCACGAAGGCCAGGGGAGCAAACGGG